GCGGAGGAAAAGAAACCAACAGGGAUUGCCUCAGUAACGGCGAGUGAAGCGGCAACAGCUCAAAUUUGAAAUCUGGCUCCUUCGGGGUCCGAGUUGUAAUUUGCAGAGGAUGCGUCGGGUACGGGUCCCUACCGAGUUCCCUGGAACGGGACGCCAUAGAGGGUGAGAGCCCCGUCUGGUAGGAUACCCAGCCCAUGUGACGCUCCCUCGACGAGUCGAGUAGUUUGGGAAUGCUGCUCUAACGGGAGGUAUACUCCUUCCAAAGCUAAAUACCGGCUGGAGACCGAUAGCGCACAAGUAGAGUGAUCGAAAGAUGAAAAGCACUUUGAAAAGAGAGUCAAACAGCACGUGAAAUUGUUAAAAGGGAAGCACUCGCUACCAGACUUGGGUUUGGCGGUUCAACCGGGGCCACGCCCCGGGGCAUUCCGCCAGCUCAGGCCAGCAUCAGCUUUCCGUCGGGGGUAAAGACGUCGGGAAUGUGGCUCCCCUUCGGGGGAGUGUUAUAGCCCGGCGUGUCAUACUCUUCGGGGGGCUGAGGUACGCGCUUCUGCAAGGAUGCUGGCGUAAUGGUAGCUAGUGACCCGUCUUGAAACACGGACCAAGGAGUCAACCUUAUGUGCGAGUGCCCGGGCGUAAAACCCCAGCGCGGAAUGAAAGUGAACGUAGGUGAGAGCUUCGGCGCAUCACCGACCGAUCCUGAUGUCCUCGGACGGAUUUGAGUGAGAGCAUAUAGGGUUGGACCCGAAAGAAGAUGAACUAUGCGUGUGUAGGGUGAAGCCAGAGGAAACUCUGGUGGAGGCUCGCAGCGGUUCUGACGUGCAAAUCGA
This 827-nucleotide unclassified non-coding RNA is filed under the name Plectosphaerella plurivora. RNAcentral describes it as "sequence contains 28S rRNA gene". It matches the Rfam family "Eukaryotic large subunit ribosomal RNA", at positions 50 to 901 of the family's 3401-position model. The record is from RNAcentral. Lineage: Eukaryota; Fungi; Ascomycota; Sordariomycetes; Glomerellales; Plectosphaerellaceae.